Molecule: non-coding RNA, 72 nt
Organism: Phrynosoma platyrhinos (Desert horned lizard)
Lineage: Eukaryota; Metazoa; Chordata; Lepidosauria; Squamata; Phrynosomatidae
Source: the annotation of a GenBank genome assembly
GCCAGUGUAGCCUAGUGGUUUGAGUGUUGGACCACAACUCUAGAGACCAGGGUUUGAUUCCCAGCUCAACUA